AGCGAACGUUAGCGGCGGGCCUAACACAUGCAAGUCGAACGGAUCGUAGCAAUACGGUCAGUGGCGCACGGGUGCGUAACGCGUAGAUAAUCUACCUCUAAGUGGGGGAUAACUAGGGGAAACUCUAGCUAAUACCGCAUAAGACCACGGGGCCUUCGGGUCCUGAGGGAAAAGACGGCCUCUGAAUAUGCUGUCGCUAGGAGAUGAGUCUGCGUCCCAUCAGCUAGUUGGUGAGGUAAUGGCUCGCCAAGGCAAAGACGGGUAGCUGGUCUGAGAGGAUGAUCAGCCACACUGGCACUGGAACACGGGCCAGACUCCUACGGGAGGCAGCAGUGGGGAAUAUUGGGCAAUGGGCGCAAGCCUGACCCAGCCACGCCGCGUGAGUGAUGAAGGCCUCGGUUGUAAAGCUCUGUGGGAGGGACGAAAGACCGUUACCUAAUACGUAACGGGUUGACGGUACCGUCCUUACGUCAAGCACCGGCUAACUCUGUGCCAGCAGCCGCGGUAAGU
This 510-nucleotide ribosomal RNA is filed under the name uncultured bacterium. Its description in RNAcentral is "bacterial SSU rRNA". It matches the Rfam family "Bacterial small subunit ribosomal RNA", at positions 29 to 525 of the family's 1533-position model. The record is from RNAcentral.